GUCCGUGGAUGCAUUGUUAGGUGACAAGUUGUUGUGGGUUGUACGAUUUCCAUCUCUUAUCAGUUGAAAUUUUCACCUGGAAUACCGGUGGCAUACGUGUUGUUAAAUUUGGUCAGGCAGCUUGGAAGCAGAUACAAAUAAGGACAAAGAUUUCCUCGGUAAGAAAACAAAUGGAAAUGUUCCCUUGCUUUGGUUGGAUGGGUGUAGGAGCAGCAAGCAUCGCCGCCACACGGAAAACUCCAGUAACUUCUUGCCCCUUCCAGCCUCGGUGAGAUGGCAUCGUAUUUUUUGAUCACGAACGACUUCAAGCUGAAGAUGUUGAACCAUGCGAUGCAAGAAUUAUUAUUUUGGGCUCCUAUGGAAGACUCAUGUAAUUGCUGUCAAGAACACUGUCAGUUCAGCGGUUGUCAUCAUGCAAGCAAUUGGCCGCUGAUCUGCUUGCUCUUUGUACUACUAAAGGUGGCAUCAUACGGCGAAGCAGGGGAUAUGGAUCAGAAGCCGCAAUGGUGCGCGUGACGACAUGUCUAACACUUGCCUGACCCUGGACUCUGGCUUCUUCUUGCAAGUAAGCUCAUUUUGCUCUUCUACACCCCCAACUCAUGUGAGGAUCUCUGGUUGGAUUUGGGUAACCAGACCCCAAGAGAUGUAAUCCUAUUUGGAUAUAAAUUGUCUAUGCUAGCUUGAUUUAGUUAAUAGGAGUAGAUUUUAUAGAUGAACUGUGUAUGCUAGCUUGAUGGGGUAUCCAUUAACGUCUAAGGUUUCACAAGGAAAUGAGUUUCUUGCAUUCUCAUGUUGAAAAGGAUUAAAGAAACCUAGCAGAAUAUGGUUUCAAAGUUUUAGUUUCUUAUUGGGUUCAUCCACAAGGUUUGCCGAAAGUUAUCAACUUGCUUUGUAAAAAGGCUUUGUAUCAUGUAUCUUUGUUUGUGCAAGAAAUCCAAUUGGAAUUGGUCUCUUGUCAUGUGCAUGUACUUUCUUUAUUGCUUAUAUAUUUCAACCACUUAU
Triticum aestivum (bread wheat) is the source of this 1002-nucleotide RNA transcript. RefSeq lists it as uncharacterized. The record is from RefSeq and is a predicted model, not a curated record. Lineage: Eukaryota; Viridiplantae; Streptophyta; Magnoliopsida; Poales; Poaceae. The transcript has 7 exons.